GGACCCGCACAAGCGGUGGAGCAUGUGGUUUAAUUCGAUGCAACGCGAAAAACCUUACCUAUACUUGACAUACUUGGAAUGCUUUGUAAUGAAGCAGUGCCUUCGGGAGCCAAGAUACAGGUGCUGCAUGGCUGUCGUCAGCUCGUGUCGUGAGAUGUUCCGUUAAGUCGGAUAACGAGCGCAACCCUUACCCUUAUUUGCCAGCGAUUCGGUCGGGAACUAUAAGGGACUGCCGGUGAUAAACCGGAGGAAGGUGAGGACGACGUCAAGUCAUCAUGGCCCUUACGUAUAGGGCUACACACGUGCUACAAUGGAGAAUACAGACGGACGCUAAGCCGCGAGGUGGUGCU
RNAcentral lists this ribosomal RNA (350 nucleotides) under uncultured bacterium. RNAcentral's name for it is "bacterial SSU rRNA". It matches the Rfam family "Bacterial small subunit ribosomal RNA", at positions 917 to 1269 of the family's 1533-position model. The record is from RNAcentral.